This 774-nucleotide ribosomal RNA is filed under the name uncultured Neocallimastigales. RNAcentral describes it as "partial large subunit ribosomal RNA". It matches the Rfam family "Eukaryotic large subunit ribosomal RNA", at positions 24 to 642 of the family's 3401-position model. Lineage: Eukaryota; Fungi; Neocallimastigomycota; Neocallimastigomycetes; Neocallimastigales. The record is from RNAcentral.
UAUCUCUGUAGAGUCUGCAUAUCAAUAAGCGGAGGAAAAGAAACUAACAAGGAUUCCCCUAGUAACGGCGAGUGAAGCGGGAAGAGCUCAAAUUUGAAAUCUUCAAGGUUUGACCUUGACGAAUUGUAGUUUAAAGAAGUGUUUUCGGUUAGAGGAGUAGUAAAAGUUCUUUGGAAUAGGACAUCAUAGAGGGUGAGAAUCCCGUAUUUGACUAUUCUUUCUAGCUUUGUGAUACACUUUCAAAGAGUCGGAUUGUUUGGGAAUGCAGUCCAAAAUGGGUGGUAAAUUUCAUCUAAAGCUAAAUAUUGGCGAGAGACCGAUAGCGAACAAGUACCGUGAGGGAAAGAUGAAAAGAACUUUGAAAAGAGAGUUAAACAGUACGUGAAAUUGUCAAAAGGGAAGCGUUUGACACCAGUGUUGUUUUUCCGAAAAUCAAUUAAAAAUUGAUUCAUGCCAGGUUGUAUUGACCUUAUCAGCUUGCAAUUUGGUUUUGGGUCUCUUUUUGAUGCACUUUCCGGUUAACAAGUCAACAUCAAUUUCCUUUGCUGUAAAAAGGUAAGAGGAAGGUGGCUUCAAUUUCGGUUGAAGUGUUUAUAGCCUUUUAUCUCUGCAGUCGGGGAGAUUGAGGUCUGCAGCGUAGAUCCUUCGGGGCUAGAUACAUUUAUGCUAAGUUAUAGCCUUUCAUAGACAACUUGUUGACUAUGUUUAGUCAUGUAGCUUACUCGUAAGUGCUAUUUUACCUACGCUUAGGAUGUUGAGCGCAUGUCUCUCUCU